CUGGAGCUCACGGGGCAUAUGAAGAACUGACACUUGCUGUUAUGUAUUGUUUUGGGUGCUAAUAGCAUUUGUGACCAGUCAUCCACAGUUUUUGCAGGCUGCCCAGAUAGUGACAGAGAGUAAGUUAUGCAUUUAUUACAAAUUCUUAAACUGCUGCAGAUACUACUGUUGUUAUUCGGUAGCACCUAGAAUGUCCAGUUGAAAGCUGUGUUCCCACCAUGCCUGAGC
Long non-coding RNA from Pezoporus flaviventris, 228 nucleotides. RefSeq lists it as uncharacterized. The record is from RefSeq and is a predicted model, not a curated record. NCBI's taxonomy places the organism in Eukaryota, Metazoa, Chordata, Aves, Psittaciformes, Psittacidae. The transcript is spliced from 2 exons.